Molecule: ribosomal RNA, 253 nt
Filed under: uncultured bacterium
Lineage: Bacteria
Description: partial 16S ribosomal RNA
Rfam family: Bacterial small subunit ribosomal RNA
Source: RNAcentral
UACAGAGACUGCAAGCGUUAUUCGGAAUUACUGGGCGUAAAGCGUGCGCAGGCGGUUUUGUAAGCCAGAUGUGAAAUCCCCGGGCUUAACCUGGGAAUGGCAUUUGGGACUGCAAGGCUCGAGUGCGGCAGAGGAGACUGGAAUUCCUGGUGUAGCAGUGAAAUGCGUAGAUAUCAGGAGGAACACCGAUGGCGAAGGCAGGUCUCUGGGCUGACACUGACGCUCAUGCACGAAAGCGUGGGGAGCAAACAGG